CUUUGCUUCGGGAGAGCUCGUGGCGAUCUCUUUAGACGGGUUACAGGGUCAUCGAUACACCGUGCAUCAACAAAUUUCCCUUCUCCUGCGAGACCCAGACUGGUGAGCACGAUUGCUUGGCGACUGGUUGGCGACUUUGCUUCGGGAGAGUUCGUGGCGAUCUCUUCAGACGGGUUACAGGGUCAUUGAUACACCGUGCAUCAACAAAUUUCCCUUCUCCUGCGAGACCCAGACUGGUGAGCACGAUUGCUUGGCGACUGGUUGGCGACGUUGCUUCGGGAGAGUU
This is a non-coding RNA of Petromyzon marinus (sea lamprey), 286 nucleotides long. Lineage: Eukaryota; Metazoa; Chordata; Hyperoartia; Petromyzontiformes; Petromyzontidae. The record is from RefSeq and is a predicted model, not a curated record.